RNAcentral lists this ribosomal RNA (253 nucleotides) under uncultured bacterium. Its description in RNAcentral is "partial 16S ribosomal RNA". It matches the Rfam family "Bacterial small subunit ribosomal RNA", at positions 524 to 776 of the family's 1533-position model. The record is from RNAcentral.
UACAGAGGUCUCAAGCGUUGUUCGGAUUCAUUGGGCGUAAAGGGUGCGUAGGUGGCGCCGUAAGUCGGGUGUGAAAUUUCGGAGCUUAACUCCGAAACUGCAUUCGAUACUGCGGUGCUUGAGGACUGGAGAGGAGACUGGAAUUCAUGGUGUAGCAGUGAAAUGCGUAGAUAUCAGGAGGAACACCUGUGGUGUAGACAGCUUACUGGACCACUUCUGACGCUGAGACACGAAAGCGUGGGUAGCAAACAGG